AGUCUGCAGUUGUGUAACUUCAGUGUCCAAACUAAUGUUAUAUAAUCUGUUAAUAUGGAGAAAUUAUAGAAAAGCUCGAAAUUUUAGACGGAGGUAAACGAAUAAAUGGAUCUUCAAUAGCUAUGCUAGUUGGUGCGAUUCAAACUGAUCAUAAUUGCAUAUAAAAUUAGAUUAGGCAUUCAUUUCAAAUCAGUUACAAUUCAUAAGAACCAUGGAUGAUUGCCAAAGUGAUGAAUGCCAAUCCAUGAAUGGGCAGACACUAACAACCCAGAUCAGAGAUUGGUGCAGCCUUCCUUGCUAAUUGUAUGGUACAGAAUUACUGCUUGCUUCAACCAAUUCGCGUAGUACAGCUUUGUAAGACAUAACCGAAGAACGAAGAAUCAGUUUAGGUACGGAAGGUGGAUGAUUUGCUUCUCCUAAUUAGCGUAAUACAGAUUUCCAUAUCUUACCCGAAGAAGGAAGAACAGGCUAUUUAAUCAGGUCCGACCGCAUUGAGAAUGAAAGGGAAACUUCGAACUGAUUCAGAAACCACUUUACUAACUCAAAUGAAAGGAAAAAAAUGCAUGAUGGGGAUGAGGUUCUUGAGCAGAAUGGCACAUAACAAAUACACCACAUUGUUUUUAUGCAUCAAACCUGACACUCACAAGUCACAAAAUACCACUGCAGUCAUAAUUCUAAAAUGUAAUAAAACUAUGCUUAGAAUAUAUUUUUAUGGUAAAUCUAACUAUGGUGUUCCAGUUGUAUCAGUACAAUUAUAUAGCUGGUGAAGCAAAUACUAUAUCUUAAAUUUGAAGCUGCAAAAUAGAGGGGCUGUUUGGACUCUCUCCACUCUCCAACUCCACGCCGGAGCGGAGCAGGAUCUAGUUCUAAUUUGAGGAGUGGCUGGAAGGCCGCUCUGCUGGCUCCGCUCCGUGGCGAUUUGCCGAACAGGGCCAGAAUAUCAUGAUUGCCAUGAGAUCCGAUAAUGAAAGGUCAAUUAUCAUAAUCUUUUCAUAUAUAUGUACUAAGUGGUACUCAAGGUAUGGUGUCACUGUGAUAGCUCACAUAAAAUAAUUUGAUUAAAUAGUUGCAAGCUAAAGAAGUUUAGACCACAUUAAAUAAUUCAGUUAAACAUUUACAUGCAAAAGAGUUUCAACUGUUACCACUUAAUCUUGUUAUAUCGGCAGAGUUGGAACUCCACUCCUAAGUAAACAGGGACAACCGAGUUAAACAUCACAAAAAUAUAUCACAUCUUAUCAAUCUUGUGGAUCUGAAGUUUUGAAACCAACUUUGGGACACUGAAACUUGCGUGCUGUAAAAUCUACAGAAGAAA
Non-coding RNA from Triticum urartu, 1312 nucleotides. The record is from RefSeq and is a predicted model, not a curated record. Lineage: Eukaryota; Viridiplantae; Streptophyta; Magnoliopsida; Poales; Poaceae.